UACAGAGGUCCCAAGCGUUGUUCGGAAUUACUGGGCGUAAAGCGCGCGUAGGCGGACCUGCAAGUCGGGGGUGAAAGCCCGAGGCUCAACCUCGGAACUGCCUUCGAUACUGCGGGUCUCGAGUCCGGGAGAGGUGAGUGGAAUUCCUAGUGUAGAGGUGAAAUUCGUAGAUAUUAGGAAGAACACCAGUGGCGAAGGCGGCUCACUGGCUCGGUACUGACGCUGAGGCGCGAAAGCGUGGGGAGCAAACAGG
Molecule: ribosomal RNA, 253 nt
Filed under: uncultured bacterium
Lineage: Bacteria
Description: partial 16S ribosomal RNA
Rfam family: Bacterial small subunit ribosomal RNA
Source: RNAcentral